RNAcentral lists this ribosomal RNA (254 nucleotides) under uncultured bacterium. Its description in RNAcentral is "partial 16S ribosomal RNA". It matches the Rfam family "Bacterial small subunit ribosomal RNA", at positions 524 to 776 of the family's 1533-position model. The record is from RNAcentral.
UACGUAGGGCGCAAGCGUUUAUCCGGAAUUAUUGGGCGUAAAGAGCUCGUAGGCGGUUUGUCGCGUCUGCCGUGAAAGUCCGGGGCUCAACUCCGGAUCUGCGGUGGGUACGGGCAGACUAGAGUGAUGUAGGGGAGACUGGAAUUCCUGGUGUAGCGGUGAAAUGCGCAGAUAUCAGGAGGAACACCGGUGGCGAAGGCGGGUCUCUGGGCCGAUACUGACGCUGAGGCGCGAAAGCGUGGGGAGCAAACAGG